GGUGCACCUUCCUGGGAAAAUGUAAACAGUGAGUAGACACAGGAGGAUUGGCAGAAACUGUUUUCUAAUCCCAUCCUUCAUUUUAAUGGUGGUGUUAUGGAAAGAGAAUCUGUGGAAGAGAGGUUAACACACUCUUUACAUGCUGCUUCAGCUCUUUUUUCAUUAUUUAAUCAUCCUGAAAUCAAAAAUGUUUAAUGAACAUGUUCAUGAGCUGUACCAAAGCCAUUUUCAGGAUCACAAACAUCAGUACCGGGGAUUUUUAUCCCUGUACAUUUGUGAAAAUCAAGAGCAGAUUGAUUCUCUGUUUGACUGUAUCCUAUGGAAUCCAUUUCCACCACAGAAUUAAGAAAGAAAAAAAAAAGAGUCAUUCAACAGAACAGCAACACUUCCUGUUCCUCAGAGGAUUAAAUCUGGAUCUUGUGAUGUGCAACAUUUCUGAUGUAUAUUCAUUCAACCAUGAGAUCCCAUGCUAAAGCUAAUUCUGUUGUUUUCUGUUUGUUAUAGUUAAUGUUAUCAUGAAAUCUGUAGCCUGGAAGCCCAUUUUUGGGAAUUCAGAUUAUCAACCGGAAGACGUUAAGCAUUACCAUGCGACACAGAUUAAAGGUCAGUGAUGCGUGAAGGGCGAGGAGAGGAGAGUGGACACAGACUGAAAGGAAGGACAGGACACUGCAGCAGCAGGUCCUGUGGAAAAUUCUGACUCCAAAACCUUAAAAGGUGAAAGCAAAACAGCCACAGGACAAGAACAUUUCCACAUGCUUUCCUUCCUGACCUUUCAUUAUACAAGAGCUGGAGGCUGCUUCUAUUCUCAGCAUAAUACAUAAUCAGAUUCCACGGCGUGAUUUUGAAUCCGUCUGAGAUCUGAAGGUUUACUGUAACGUGAGGAAUUUUACUGUUUUCAGCACAAACACCAGAGAACUUUGAUGUCCUUCAUGCUGCUGGAAAUGAAUAUCCUGAAAAUAUCCCAAAACUGAUGCUGUUGAUCUCAAAACACAACACAGCAUCAACUGACUCUGUACUGAGAGUUAACUGAGAGAGUGUUUCUAAACCACAGAAACCCUUUGGUCAUUUCUUUUUUUUUCUUUUCUGUUACAAGACAGAAGAUCAGUGGAGACAAAAGAACAUGCGUUGAGAUGUAAAGAGAGAAAUCCUCAUGUAGUGAACUGGGGCAAAGCAGAUGUCUGUUCAAACGAGUUCUUUGAUUCAAGACUACAUACUAUUUCUCAGAGGUGAUCCCGAACAAGUCAGUCCUUACAGACAGAACAAACUCUUUUUAUGUUGUUUUCUUUAUCUGUACAUCCCAUAGGAAAGAAAUCAUAAUUCUGAUCUCUUUUUCAAUAUAUUAAUUCUCUUUAAAAGCAAUUAGAGGGGAAAAAACAAACACCUGACAGCUAUGGUUUC
This is a long non-coding RNA of Cyprinus carpio (common carp), 1398 nucleotides long. RefSeq lists it as uncharacterized. NCBI's taxonomy places the organism in Eukaryota, Metazoa, Chordata, Actinopteri, Cypriniformes, Cyprinidae. The record is from RefSeq and is a predicted model, not a curated record.